This 1037-nucleotide ribosomal RNA is filed under the name Elysia timida. Its description in RNAcentral is "16S ribosomal RNA". The stretch from base 449 to 694 matches the Rfam family "Archaeal large subunit ribosomal RNA", at positions 1786 to 2143 of the family's 2987-position model. Lineage: Eukaryota; Metazoa; Mollusca; Gastropoda; Plakobranchidae. The record is from RNAcentral.
AAUUAAUUUUCUUAAUAUAAAGAUUUUUUUCUAUUACAUAAAUGGAAUAAAAAGAUUUUAAGAAAAAUUUAUUCUUUUUGUAUAACGGGUUAACUAGAAAAAAUUUUAAAUAAAAAUUCCCGAAAAUAGAAGAUCUAAACUACUUUUUGUUUUAGAAAAUAAGUGUAAUGUGGAAUUAUUACAUAAAAAAAAUAGUUUAGGGGUGAAAAACCUACAAUUCUACUAAUAUCUGGAUUAAAGAUUUAAGUACUCAGUACUAAAGACACUUAUGAAGUUUUAAGACUUUAUAAUAACAGAAUUUCUAAUAAUUAAUUUCAAACCAGUACUAAUAAUUCUAGUUUUAUAUUAUUGUUAAAAAUUUCUCUUUUAUAAAAUCUGUUUUUUCUCUUUACACUAACUUAAAUUACUUAUUUAGUAGAUAAUGUUAUCAUUAGUAAUAAAUUUUUAAUUAAAUAAAACAUAAAGAAGGAACUCGGCAAACUUGUGCCUUAACUGUUUACCAAAAACAUAGUCUUAAGAAAUCAUUUAAGAUAAUGCCUGCCCAGUGCUGAUAGUAAACGGCCGCAGUACCUUGACUGUGCUAAGGUAGCAUAAUCAGUUGGCUUUUAAAUGGAGUCGGGAAUGAAUGGACUUAUGGGGCACUGCUGUCUCUUAUAUGUUCUAUUAAACUUACUGAUUAGGUGAAAAUACCUAAAAUUAGAAAAAAGACGAGAAGACCCUAGGAGUUUUAACAAAUUUUUAAAUAAUUUAAUUACUGUUUUUGUUGGGGCGACAAAGGAUUAGAUAUAUAACUUCCUUUAAUUAAUCUGCCGACUGUGUAUGUAAAAUUAAACUACCCUAGGGAUAACAGCGUAAUUCUUUAAGAGCUUGCGACCUCGAUGUUGGACUAGGAAUUCGUUUGGCUAGCCGCCAAUUUGUAUUGUUCUGUUCGAACUUAAUUUCCUACAUGAUCUGAGUUCAGACCGGCGUAAGCCAGGUCAGAUUCUAUCUUUUUAAUAUUAUUUUUAGUACGAAAGGAAUUAAAUAAUUUACUUUGU